Molecule: ribosomal RNA, 465 nt
Filed under: Vreelandella stevensii
Lineage: Bacteria; Pseudomonadati; Pseudomonadota; Gammaproteobacteria; Oceanospirillales; Halomonadaceae
Description: partial 16S ribosomal RNA
Rfam family: Bacterial small subunit ribosomal RNA
Source: RNAcentral
CCUACGGGCGGCAGCAGUGGGGAAUAUUGGACAAUGGGCGAAAGCCUGAUCCAGCCAUGCCGCGUGUGUGAAGAAGGCCUUCGGGUUGUAAAGCACUUUCAGUGGGGAAGAAAGCCUUGGGGCUAAUACCCUCGAGGAAGGACAUCACCCACAGAAGAAGCACCGGCUAACUCCGUGCCAGCAGCCGCGGUAAUACGGAGGGUGCGAGCGUUAAUCGGAAUUACUGGGCGUAAAGCGCGCGUAGGCGGUCUGAUAAGCCGGUUGUGAAAGCCCCGGGCUCAACCUGGGAACGGCAUCCGGAACUGUCAGGCUAGAGUGCAGGAGAGGAAGGUAGAAUUCCCGGUGUAGCGAUGAAAUGCGUAGAGAUCGGGAGGAAUACCAGUGGCGAAGGCGGCCUUCUGGACUGACACUGACGCUGAGGUGCGAAAGCGUGGGUAGCAAACAGGAUUAGAUACCCUAGUAGUC